Non-coding RNA from Phalacrocorax carbo (great cormorant), 1502 nucleotides. The record is from RefSeq and is a predicted model, not a curated record. NCBI's taxonomy places the organism in Eukaryota, Metazoa, Chordata, Aves, Suliformes, Phalacrocoracidae.
AAGAGUUAAAAUAUUGUGGGGUUAAAGCAGUGGGGAGGGAAGGGGCAAGGAAGGCUUAUGGUGAUAGGGGUGUCUUUUAUUAGAUGAGCAGAUGGUGUUGGACAGGCAGACUUCUUGGCAUGCAAACUUGGCGUCUGAAUUCAAAGGGAUUCGCUGGCUUGGGGCUGAGAACGACUCCUCGUGGUUGGAUGUGCUGGUGUAAAACUUGAAAAAAAUGAGGGAAAAAAAAUGUGUGGUACCUGCAGCGUGGAGAUGCCACUGAGGGAGCUGGAUAAAACGCACUAUGAGGUGAUACAAGGGGGCAAACAAAUCCUUUGCGCUGAACUAUGGUGUACUUUCACGGCUCCAAAGAGACUGAUGUCCAGCCUGAGCAUCUUUGUGGUGUGAGGGACGGUCUGUGGGUGCUGGGGACCGCUGGGGAAAUGCAGCCACAGAUUUUAAACUGUAUUUCCGGCCAGAAAAAAAAAAAAUGCUCUAUUUUAGUUCUUUUUUCUUUUUACUUUGAGUUUUGUUCUUACUCACUUUUCGUGUCUCGCAACACAGCACAAAAACAUCGCCCAAAGCGCGGCCAAAGAAAGCAUCCAAACCGACGUCUUCUCCGUCACCAAUCCCACGCUCCUUUCCCAAACCUAAUUCCUAUUUUGCACAAUCUCUGCCCUUUUAUGCCCUUUUAUUUUUAUCGCUAAAGUUUACGUGCCGAAAUCAAACUGGAAAAGGUCCCGCAGCGAAGGAGCAGCGUGGGAAAACUCAGCGUGCGAGAAAAAAAAACAACUGGCUUUUCCAGAAAGGGCCGGCAAAGGUGGCCCCUGCUUCUCCCAGCGCCGAGGGUGCCGCGUCCCGGGGAUGCUCUGAGCAUCCCGGCGCGGUGAAGCCUGGCCCGCUGCGAGCGCGGUUUGGACCACGGCUGUGGCUUUUACGCUGAGGAAGAAGGUGUGAAAGAGAUCACCGCCGUCCCCGGCUCUCAGAUGCAUCGCGUCAUUUCCCGGCUUUAAUAAGCGGAAGCAAAACUUGCAGGGAAAUUUUAAAAAAUGCAGCUGGUAACUAAGACUCUUCCCUUAACAAUGCCUCGUACCCGAGCAGCUGACAUUAGCGGGAUUCCUGCGGAAGUUGCUGGAGGGGACAUAGUUUGGUGUUUUUGGUGCAGGAGACAAGAAGGUGGAUGAAGGAAACCCAAAAAAUCCUUUCCCCCGUGGCGCCGGCUGCCGUGGGGUUUCCGCCGCGGGGUUUCCACCUCUCCCCGAGGUGCUGCGUGCCGGCCGAGAGCAGCUGCUUGGGCUGGCUGCUGCUGACCGGGGUGUGCCGUUCUGCCCGAGGGAGCGGGAAAUAACAACGGGAUACUUCAGGUGCUUUGAAGUAAAGAAAAAGAAUGCACUUUUAAAGACUAAUACCAGCAAAAUAAAAACAAAAACAAGAAAGUAAAAGAAAAACUGAAAUAAAAAAUUAAAAAUAAAAAAUUUUUUAAAAAUAGGAAAAAAGAGAAAAUAAAAUAAAAGGAAAGGAAA